GUGUGUGUGUUGUAGUGGCCUGAGUGUUGGACUCUGACUCCGGAGACCAGGGUUCAAAUCCCAGCUUGGCCA
Molecule: non-coding RNA, 72 nt
Organism: Phrynosoma platyrhinos (Desert horned lizard)
Lineage: Eukaryota; Metazoa; Chordata; Lepidosauria; Squamata; Phrynosomatidae
Source: the annotation of a GenBank genome assembly